UCCCUGCUGUAAACGAUGCGAGCUAGGUGUUGGGGCGGCUACGAGCCGCUUCAGUGCCGCAGCGAAGGCGUUAAGCUCGCCGCCUGGGGAGUACGGCCGCAAGGCUGAAACUUAAAGGAAUUGGCGGGGGAGCACCACAAGGCGUGAAGCUUGCGGUUCAAUUGGAGUCAACGCCGGGAACCUUACCGGGGGCGACAGCAGGAUGAAGGCCAGGUUGAUGGUCUUGCUGGACGAGCUGAGAGGAGGCGCAUGGCCGUCGUCAGUUCGUGCCGUGAGGUGUCCUCUUAAGUGAGGUAACGA
Molecule: ribosomal RNA, 300 nt
Filed under: uncultured bacterium
Lineage: Bacteria
Description: bacterial SSU rRNA
Rfam family: Archaeal small subunit ribosomal RNA
Source: RNAcentral